GCAAACUUGGUCAUUUAGAGGAAGUAAAAGUCGUAACAAGGUUUCCGUAGGUGAACCUGCGGAAGGAUCAUUAAUGAGUUGUAAAUGGGCUUGAUGCUGGCAUCUAAUUUUUUUUUUGGGUGCAUGUGCUCGCUCUAACAAUCAUUCCAAACACCUGUGCACAUAUUCUUGAAGGGGGUGCUGAAUUUUUCGGUGCCCCUUACACAAAACAUUAAUGAAUAAAUUAUGAACGUGAUUUGUGCCGCAAGGCCUUAACAAUAUAUAAAUACAACUUUUAACAACGGAUCUCUUGGCUCUCGCAUCGAUGAAGAACGCAGC
Molecule: unclassified non-coding RNA, 318 nt
Filed under: uncultured fungus
Lineage: Eukaryota; Fungi
Description: partial contains small subunit ribosomal RNA, internal transcribed spacer 1, and 5.8S ribosomal RNA
Rfam family: Eukaryotic small subunit ribosomal RNA (bases 1-73)
Source: RNAcentral